This is a long non-coding RNA of Trichechus manatus latirostris (Florida manatee), 962 nucleotides long. RefSeq lists it as uncharacterized. The record is from RefSeq and is a predicted model, not a curated record. NCBI's taxonomy places the organism in Eukaryota, Metazoa, Chordata, Mammalia, Sirenia, Trichechidae. The transcript is spliced from 4 exons.
GGCAACCAAGAACAAGAAGCCUGGCAUAAUGGUGGGCGCGGCUCUGGCCUCUCCAGUGGGGUUGAUCCUCGUGGCUGGAAGAGAUGUAAAUAAUGGAGCUUAGAAUGCAACAGCUGGUGAUAAAAGGCAGCAUGGAAAAGAUUAAGUGGCAUGAUAAAGAAAAGGAAUGAGAAACCUCUUGAAGAAAUCAUUGCCCCCGUUUUUAGCUCUAAGAAAUUGCCUCCUGAGGAUCCACACAUCCUGCAUAUCGAAUCACAUUAGAAGUACCAGGAGGACUUCCAUUAAUCUAUUUCACAGGGGUUAGUCCUAAAUGUCAUUUCUCAGUAAAUCGUCUGGAAAUGUUUAUGGGAACACUUUACCUCAGAAAUAUUUGAGGAAUGCCUUCGAGCAAACCAGACAAAAAGAAGCAUGCAACGUAAAGAUCUCUGGCCCGUUAUGAAGACUUAUGAAGACUCGCUGUUUCCAAGUCAGUGUGUGUGCACGCGCGCGUUUGGGUGACUGAAGAUGUAAGCACACAGGUCUCACACACAUGGAAGCAUUCUCCUGUGAAAUUGGGCUACAAAAUAUUCUGCCGAUCUAAAGACUUAAAAAGUCUAAAAAAUGCUGAACUCACUGGCACAGUUUCUGGAAACCGAGUCUCACACGCGGUUUCAGCGGCACUGGGGAGCCGACGUCGAGCACCCGUGCGCGUGGGCUCCUCGGUCGCCUGCAGCCCGUCAGGGCGCUUUUGGGGCAGAGCGCCGCGGCCGCAGAGCCUCCUUGGAAUGCGGCGCCUAGCGCUGCGCAGAGGCUAUGAUCUGGGCUCGGAAGGAUCCGGAGGCCUAGCGUUUCUCUCUCUCCGCCUAAGAUUCAAGCAGAGCCCAUCUGCGCCCGCCACCUCGAGCCUCGGGUACAGCUUCCAGCGCCGGCCCUGGCUGCGGUGGGCCGGGCAGCGCGAGCGGCAGCUGCGCACCCGCAAGCCC